Molecule: long non-coding RNA, 919 nt
Organism: Meriones unguiculatus (Mongolian gerbil)
Lineage: Eukaryota; Metazoa; Chordata; Mammalia; Rodentia; Muridae
Exons: 4
Source: RefSeq, a predicted model, not a curated record
ACGGACAAGCCACCUCCUCAAGGAACCGGGAGGCAGAAGCAGCAUCAGUGAAGCCUAGUGGUUAGGACUGUGUGGAGAACAGUGUUACCACGCUGUCCACACCUCUCCAAAGAGUGUCCCUGAUGAGCGCUUUGAUUUGAAGCCAGGGCAUCACAGCCUUGUGCCCUUGGUGGGAGACCCUUUCCGCUUCUCCUCCUGGUCCUGUUUCCUGCUGCCCUGUCAUCCAUCGAUGCCCUUUUGACCCUUUGGACCUGUCUGGUUGGUGGUCAUGGCGUAUGGAAGCACUCCAAAGCUUAGCUGUCGCCUAAAGUGACAGAGCAGCGUACCACGCUAUCUCAGCAGCCAGAGGACCUGAAUCCAAAUCCCCAGCAUCCACGUUUAAAAUCAGGUGUGGUCAUGUGUGCCCGCAGUCCAGCGUGAAGGGGUGGACACAGGCUGACCCUGAGAGCUUUCUGGCCAAUCAGCCCUGCCAAACAGCAAGCUUCCGGUUCGGUGACAGACUCCAUUUCAAGCCUGCCGCCACCAGGAGUGCUGACUCCUUGGCCUGUGACUGCCAGUGAUGCUGGGCGUAACAGUCCCUGGUCUCUGUGCUGCUCCUGGGACAGACUCAUGCCAGGGAGGACUGAGAGGAAGGACGGUGCCGAGCCAGUCUGCAGGGGCUGCUGUGGGCAGGAGGGUCCACUGAGAGCCAGUCAGCCAAGAGAAAAGUGAGGCGACCAGCAGCUGUCUCCGUCCACUGCCCCACCCCGGAGCUCAGUGUGCUGCCCUCCUCUGUCACCUGGAAACAAGGCCUCCUGCACUGGCCGUGGCAUCCUCGUGCCCUGAUAGGACUCCCAGGACAAACCCACCCGGCCCUCUUCAGUGCCCCUCGGAGCCUUCCCAGGUACAAGCCUUUGUUGGUGGUAGACGGCGUGGAUGG